Molecule: long non-coding RNA, 525 nt
Organism: Neoarius graeffei (lesser salmon catfish)
Lineage: Eukaryota; Metazoa; Chordata; Actinopteri; Siluriformes; Ariidae
Exons: 3
Source: RefSeq, a predicted model, not a curated record
GGAGAGCAACAACAAAGACACAAUGAAGGAGAGCAACAACAGAGACAGACAAUGAAGGAGAGCAACAACAGAGACAGACAAUGAAGGAGAGCAAAAACAGACAGACAAUAAAGGAGAGCAACAGAGACAGGCAAUGGAAAAGAGAAACAACAGACAACUGAGGGUGUGUUCUGAGUGUUUGCCCUUAGCAGUUUACAAGAGACAGAAAAACAGGUUCUGAAUGUUCUGGGGGAUGCCUUUUGCAUUUUUCAAAGACAGAAAACCUGUUGGUACAGUUAAACGCAGCUAAUCUUUAUUCUCCGCUUUGACCUUUCCAAAAUGGCGGCGAGGAUGACGUAUGAUUCUACGCGGAAGGCGGCGUCUUCAAUGGUCCGGAAUAAAGUGAAUGAUACACGUUGAUGGAAUUAAUUUGUUGUUUCUCACAUGUGAAAGGUAAUCCCAUAUGAUCUCGUUUGGACGGUAAACCUGUUGGUACAGUUAAACGCAGCUAAUCCUUAUUCUCUGCUUUGACCUCUCCAAUAUGGC